UUUUUUUUUUUUUUUUUUUAAGAUUUUAUUUAUUUAUUCUUGAGAGACACAGAGAGAGGCAGACACAAGCACAGGGAGAAGCAGGCCACAUGCAGGGAGCCCGAUGUGGGACCAGAUCUCGACACUUCAGGAUCACGACCUGGCCCUAAGGCAAGUGCUAAACCGCUGAGCCACCCAGAGAUCUCCAAACACAGACCAUCUUAAUAUCUAACUGGUUUUAACUAUACAAGGAUGCACAGCUAUUAAUUAUAUCUUAUUGUCAAGCGUAGAGAACUAUAUUUCAAAUGUAAGUAUUAUAAAAGACAAGUCUAAUGCUCAAUCUGAAGUAUUUCUGCAAGAGUCACUCAUACACUUUAGCAAAGCUGUAGUGACUUUUCAAGUGCUCUGACCUGGACCUGUUUUUUUGCCUCUAACAGGGCAGCAGUCACAGGUGAGGAUGGGUAAGUUACUUAUCCUCUUGGUCUGAAACAGUGCAGAAAAUAAUUGUAUUUUUAGGGCUUUAGAUAAGGGGCUGGCGCCUGGGCUGUGACAGAAACCACUUCUUACUAUCGUUUCCAAUAUAGAGCCAUUCACAGAAAGGACAAAAGAGACAGAGGGGAAAGCAGGAACCAAAGGUUCUUGAAGGGACCUUCAGAGGGUGAAAUACUGGUUCUUAACUAUGUCAGCCUGAUACCACUAGACCAACUUCAGGUGUGCAGUAUUUACCCAACCUGACAGAUUAUAGAAAAUUGUUGUCCCUUUUUCAGAAGAGCCGUAGAAGUGGUCACCUCUAGAGGAGGUCUGGAAGGUAUCUGCUGUUACAGAAUCUUAUACUUGUUCUUCACAGCAUUCAUCACGACCUUCAUACAGAUUAUUUUUUUGACAUUGUUUGCUGAGUGUCCUACCAUGUGACCACCUUGCUUACCCCUGCAUCCAUAGCUUCAUCACAAAGAUUGGUUCCUAGUAGGUAAUGUAAACGUUUGAUGACUUAAGUCCUCAGGGGAGAGGGCAGAGGCUGUGGUUUUGGUUGCUAUCUGAUUUUUUUCAUUGGUAUCGUGAAGCGCUUCAAGGAAAAACAAUGUCCUCAGCUCUCAUUAAGUGUUUUCCGAAAGAACCCACAUCUUACUCAUUAGGAACACUAUAACUGACGCCACCUCAGGGGCUCCUUCGGGUUCCCUUCCUGAAAGGAAAUAACGUGAACUCAACAGGCGGUCCAGGAAGACGGAUUUUCUUUGAUGUCACUUGCUGAGGGCUUUUAGAGUAACCUGUUAACGUUGUGGAGUGGGAGCUAAGUUUGUCGGCUCUUCUCUUUACUUAUACUUUGAAAUAGUUCUCAAUGUGUGGUCCUGAACCAACCAUGGGUAUCGCUAGGAAACUUCCUGGAAAUGCAAACCCUUGGACCGCAGCAUAGACCCGAUCCGUCAGACACUCUGGAAGCGAGAUGCGGCAACCUGUUUUUUAAUAGGUCUUCCAGGUGAUCCUGAAUCAUGGCUAAGAUCGAGAACUACGGUCGUAAACCAAACGAAGUCCACUAACGACCACCAGUCUACGUGGCCCCUGUGCUGGUGGGGUCCCUCACCCCCGACUACAGGUCGACGCCCAGGGCACGCCCACACGCCCGCCUGCCUGCUCCCUGGGUGCUCCCUCCCGCUAUUCCCAGCGCCGUGAAACGCGCUUCACAGGACCUUCCUUAGGGUAUCAGGUAAGACGACAGGGCAGUGUGUCCGUUAAGCGCCUCAAGGAAGCAGUCGCAGCCACUGCUCGAUGGCGCCAGCACGACUCCCAUCAGGGAGGCUGAUGCUCCAAAUGAGCUUGACUGUGCGUGUUGUCCUCUGGGGGACAAGGUGAGGCGCAGCUUCUGGGCGUGCAGCUGCUUUCCUCGGCGGCAGCUUCACGUCGCUACGGUAACAGGGGAAUCCUGCGUGUGGCCGACAGGCCAGCCUCCUCCAAAACCAACCUCAGUCAUCCAAGCGGCUACGGGAAGGGACGGUGCGCGGGAGACGCAGAAGACAACCAGGCGAGGAGGGCUGGCUGCGGCUGGGCGUGCUCGCCUCACUCCUCGCCUCGCGCCCUUGCACCGCUGUUUCUCUUCGGGAGCCUCCUCCAGCGUCCGCAGCCGGCCGCGCGCGGGGUCAGACGCGGCCCGAGGUCCGCUCGGAGCGGGAGGGGCCACCCGGCCGGGAGGGCCGCGCGGGGAAACCUCACACCGGGGAGGAGGCCCCCGCGCG
Molecule: long non-coding RNA, 2207 nt
Filed under: Canis lupus familiaris (dog)
Lineage: Eukaryota; Metazoa; Chordata; Mammalia; Carnivora; Canidae
Description: lncRNA (ENSCAFG00845000963.1)
Source: RNAcentral